CCUACGGGGGGCAGCAGGGAAUCUUCCACAAUGGACGAAAGUUUGAUGGAGCAACGCCGCGUGAGUGAAGAAGGGUUUCGGCUCGUAAAGCUCUGUUGGUAGUGAAGAAAGAUAGAGGUAGUAACUGGCCUUUAUUUGACGGUAAUUACUUAGAAAGUCACGGCUAACUACGUGCCCGCAGCCGCGGUAAUACGUAGGUGGCAAGCGUUGUCCGGAUUUAUUGGGCGUAAAGCGAGUGCAGGCGGUUUGGUUAGGCUGU
This 259-nucleotide ribosomal RNA is filed under the name uncultured bacterium. RNAcentral's name for it is "partial 16S ribosomal RNA". It matches the Rfam family "Bacterial small subunit ribosomal RNA", at positions 338 to 592 of the family's 1533-position model. The record is from RNAcentral.